Molecule: ribosomal RNA, 382 nt
Filed under: uncultured bacterium
Lineage: Bacteria
Description: bacterial SSU rRNA
Rfam family: Bacterial small subunit ribosomal RNA
Source: RNAcentral
AGCGAACGCUAGCGGCGGGCUUAACACAUGCAAGUCGAGCGCCUUACUUCGGUAAGGAGCGGCGGACGGGUGAGUAACACGUAGGUUAUCUGCCCCGGGGUGAGGGACAACUGAGGGAAACUUCAGCUAAUACCACAUAUGGCCUACGGGUCAAAGGCUUCGGCCGCCCUGGGAUGAGCCUGCGUCCCAUUAUUUAAUCCUAGUUGGUGGGGUAAUGGCCUACCAAGGGUACGAUGGGUAGCUGGUUUGAGAGAAUGAUCAGCCACACUGGAACUGAGACACGGUCCAGACUCCUACGGGAGGCAGCAGUGGGGAAUUUUGGACAAUGGGCGCAAGCCUGAUCCAGCCAUGCCGCGUGAGUGAAGAAGGCCUCGGUUGUAAG